CCUACGUGUGGCAGCAGUAGGGAAUCUUCCACAAUGGGCGAAAGCCUGAUGCAGCAACGCCGCGUGGGUGAAGAAGGUUUUCGGAUCGUAAAGCUCUAUUGUCAGAGAAGAAAGUGCGUGAGAGUAACUGUUCACGGUUCGACGGUAUCUAGCCAGAAAGCCACGGCUAACUACGUGCCAGCAGCCGCUGUAAUACUAGGGAGGCUGCGGUUAUCCGGAUUAAGUGGGGUUAAAGGGUGGGCAGGCGGAUUAUUAAGUCACCGGUCAAACCGUGGGGCUCAACGCCAUUCAGCCGUUGAAACUGGGGAUCUAGAGUGUGCGAGAGGUAUGCGGAAUGCGUGGUGUAGCGGUGAAAUGCGUAGAUAUCAGGCGGAACACCGAUUGCGAAGGCAGCAUACCGGAGAGCAACUGACGCUCAGGCACGAAAGCGUGGGUAUCGAACAGGAUUAGAUACCCGAGUAGUC
RNAcentral lists this ribosomal RNA (464 nucleotides) under uncultured bacterium. RNAcentral's name for it is "partial 16S ribosomal RNA". It matches the Rfam family "Bacterial small subunit ribosomal RNA", at positions 338 to 795 of the family's 1533-position model. The record is from RNAcentral.